CUACGGGAGGCAGCAGUGGGGAAUAUUGCGCAAUGGGGGAAACCCUGACGCAGCAACGCCGCGUGAGUGAAGAAGGCCUUAGGGUUGUAAAGCUCUGUCCUCAAGGAAGAUAAUGACGGUACUUGAGGAGGAAGCCCCGGCUAACUACGUGCCAGCAGCCGCGGUAAUAAUCUCUAGAGG
This 180-nucleotide ribosomal RNA is filed under the name uncultured bacterium. Its description in RNAcentral is "partial 16S ribosomal RNA". It matches the Rfam family "Bacterial small subunit ribosomal RNA", at positions 339 to 533 of the family's 1533-position model. The record is from RNAcentral.